AGCCGCCGCGGUAAAACAGAGGGUGCGAGCGUUAAUCGGAUUUACUGGGCGUAAAGCGUGCGUAGGCGGCUUUUUAAGUCGGAUGUGAAAUCCCUGAGCUUAACUUAGGAAUUGCAUUCGAUACUGGGAAGCUAGAGUAUGGGAGAGGAUGGUAGAAUUCCAGGUGUAGCGGUGAAAUGCGUAGAGAUCUGGAGGAAUACCGAUGGCGAAGGCAGCCAUCUGGCCUAAUACUGACGCUGAGGUACGAAAGCAUGGGGAGCAAACAGGAUUAGAUACCCCGGUAGUCCCUGUCUCUUAUACA
RNAcentral lists this ribosomal RNA (301 nucleotides) under uncultured bacterium. RNAcentral's name for it is "partial 16S ribosomal RNA". It matches the Rfam family "Bacterial small subunit ribosomal RNA", at positions 510 to 808 of the family's 1533-position model. The record is from RNAcentral.